AUACUUGCCUGCCAGGGGAGAUACCGUGAUUCCGAAGGUGGAUUUCCCAGUUCAAGGCUGAUCUAUUGCACUCCAGAUGUGCUGACCCAUGAGGUUUCCCCAAAUGUGGGAAACUCAACUGCAUAAUUUGUGGAGGUGAAGGACUGUGUUUGUGCUUUUAUGUG
Pongo pygmaeus (Bornean orangutan) is the source of this 164-nucleotide small nuclear RNA. RefSeq annotates it as U1 spliceosomal RNA. The transcript has a single exon. The record is from RefSeq and is a predicted model, not a curated record. Lineage: Eukaryota; Metazoa; Chordata; Mammalia; Primates; Hominidae.